RNAcentral lists this ribosomal RNA (553 nucleotides) under uncultured bacterium. RNAcentral describes it as "bacterial SSU rRNA". It matches the Rfam family "Archaeal small subunit ribosomal RNA", at positions 725 to 1275 of the family's 1478-position model. The record is from RNAcentral.
AGUGAAUAGAUACCCGGGUAGUCCUAGCCGUAAACGAUACUCGCUAGGUGUCGGCCACGGUGCGACCGUUGUCGGUGCCGUAGGGAAAGCCGUGAAGCGAGCCACCUGGGAAGUACGGCCGCAAGGCUGAAACUUAAAGGAAUUGGCGGGGGAGCACCACAACGGGUGGAGCUUGCGGUUUAAUUGGAUUCAACGCCGGAAAUCUUACCGGGACCGACAGCAACAUGAAGGCCAGGCUGAAGACUUUGCCGGAUUAGCUGAGAGGUGGUGCAUGGCCGUCGUCAGUUCGUACUGUGAAAGCAUCCUGUUAAGUCAGGCAACGAGCGAGACCCACGCCCACAGUUGCCAGCGUACUCUCUGGAGUGACGGGUACACUGUGGGGACCGCCGCUGCUAAAGCGGAGGAAGGAAUGGGCAACGGUAGGUCAGUAUGCCCCGAAUAUCCCGGGCUACACGCGAGCUACAAUGGUUGGUACAAUGGGUAUCUACCCGAAAGGGGAUGGAAAUCUCCUAAAGCCAAUCUUAGUUCGGAUUGAGGGCUGCAACUCGCCCUC